GAUGAACGCUGGCGGCGUGCCUAAUACAUGCAAGUCGAGCGAAAAGACGAGGAGCUUGCUCCUCUGACGUUUGCGGCGCACGUGUGAGUAACACGUGGAUAACCCACCUAUAAGACUGGGAUAACCUCGGGAAACCGGAGAUAAUACCGGAUAAUAUAUUGAACCGCAUGGGUCAAUAGUGAAAGACGGUUUUGCUGUCACUUAUAGCUGGUUCCGCGCCGCAUUAGCUGGUUGGUAGGGUAACCGCUUGACAAGGCAACGAUACGUAGCCGACCUGAGAGGGUGAUCGGCCACACUGGAACUUAGACAGGGUCCAUGCUCCUACGGGAGGCAGCAGUAGGGAAUCUUCGGCAAUGGGCGAAAGCAUGACGGAGCAACGCCGCGUGAGUGAUGAAGGUCUUCGGAUCGUAAAACUCUGUUAUUAGGGAAGAACAAAUGUGUAAGUAACCAUGCACGUAUUGACGGUACCUAAUCAGAAAGCCACGGCUAACUACGUG
RNAcentral lists this ribosomal RNA (497 nucleotides) under uncultured bacterium. Its description in RNAcentral is "partial 16S ribosomal RNA". It matches the Rfam family "Bacterial small subunit ribosomal RNA", at positions 28 to 507 of the family's 1533-position model. The record is from RNAcentral.